This 253-nucleotide ribosomal RNA is filed under the name uncultured bacterium. RNAcentral describes it as "partial 16S ribosomal RNA". It matches the Rfam family "Bacterial small subunit ribosomal RNA", at positions 524 to 776 of the family's 1533-position model. The record is from RNAcentral.
UACGUAGGGUGCGAGCGUUGUCCGGAAUUAUUGGGCGUAAAGAGCUCGUAGGCGGUCUGUCGCGUCGAAUGUGAAAACCCGGGGCUCAACUCCGGGCUUGCAUUCGAUACGGGCAGACUAGAGUUCGGUAGGGGAGACUAGAAUUCCUGGUGUAGCGGUGGAAUGCGUAGAUAUCGGGAGGAACACCGGUGGCGAAGGCGGGUCUCUGGGCCGAUACUGACGCUGAGGAGCGAAAGCGUGGGGAGCGAACAGG